GAUGAACGCUGGCGGCGUGCCUAAUACAUGCAAGUCGAGCGAACGGACGAGAAGCUUGCUUCUCUGAUGUUAGCGGCGGACGGGUGAGUAACACGUGGAUAACCUACCUAUAAGACUGGGAUAACUUCGGGAAACCGGAGCUAAUACCGGAUAAUAUUUUGAACCGCAUGGUUCAAAAGUGAAAGACGGUCUUGCUGCCACUUAUAGAUGGAUCCGCGCUGCAUUAGCUAGUUGGUAAGGUAACGGCUUACCAAGGCAACGAUGCAUAGCCGACCUGAGAGGGUGAUCGGCCACACUGGAACUGAGACACGGUCCAGACUCCUACGGGAGGCAGCAGUAGGGAAUCUUCCGCAAUGGGCGAAAGCCUGACGGAGCAACGCCGCGUGAGUGAUGAAGGUCUUCGGAUCGUAAAACUCUGUUAUUAGGGAAGAACAUAUGUGUAAGUAACUGUGCACAUCUUGACGGUACCUAAUCAGAAAGCCACGGCUAACUACGUGCCAGCAGCCGCGGUAAUACGUAGGUGGCAAGCGUUAUCCGGAAUUAUUGGGCGUAAAGCGCGCGUAGGCGGUUUUUUAGUCUGAUGUGAAAGCCCACGGCUCAACCGUGGAGGGUCAUUGGAAACUGGAAAACUUGAGUGCAGAAGAGGAAAGUGGAAUUCCAUGUGUAGCGGUGAAAUGCGCAGAGAUAUGGAGGAACACCAGUGGCGAAGGCGACUUUCUGGUCUGUAACUGACGCUGAUGUGCGAAAGCGUGGGGAUCAAACAGGAUUAGAUACCCUGGUAGUCCACGCCGUAAACGAUGAGUGCUAAGUGUUAGGGGGUUUCCGCCCCUUAGUGCUGCAGCUAACGCAUUAAGCACUCCGCCUGGGGAGUACGACCGCAAGGUUGAAACUCAAAGGAAUUGACGGGGACCCGCACAAGCGGUGGAGCAUGUGGUUUAAUUCGAAGCAACGCGAAGAACCUUACCAAAUCUUGACAUCCUUUGACAACUCUAGAGAUAGAGCCUUCCCCUUCGGGGGACAAAGUGACAGGUGGUGCAUGGUUGUCGUCAGCUCGUGUCGUGAGAUGUUGGGUUAAGUCCCGCAACGAGCGCAACCCUUAAGCUUAGUUGCCAUCAUUAAGUUGGGCACUCUAAGUUGACUGCCGGUGACAAACCGGAGGAAGGUGGGGAUGACGUCAAAUCAUCAUGCCCCUUAUGAUUUGGGCUACACACGUGCUACAAUGGACAAUACAAAGGGCAGCGAAACCGCGAGGUCAAGCAAAUCCCAUAAAGUUGUUCUCAGUUCGGAUUGUAGUCUGCAACUCGACUACAUGAAGCUGGAAUCGCUAGUAAUCGUAGAUCAGCAUGCUACGGUGAAUACGUUCCCGGGUCU
RNAcentral lists this ribosomal RNA (1371 nucleotides) under uncultured bacterium. RNAcentral describes it as "bacterial SSU rRNA". It matches the Rfam family "Bacterial small subunit ribosomal RNA", at positions 28 to 1381 of the family's 1533-position model. The record is from RNAcentral.